GUUUUCGGACUUACUGGGCGUAAAGCGCACGUAGGCGGCUUUACAAGUCAGAGGUGAAAGCCUGGAGCUCAACUCCAGAAUUGCCUUUGAGACUGUAUCGCUUGAACACGGGAGAGGUGAGUGGAAUUCCGAGUGUAGAGGUGAAAUUCGUAGAUAUUCGGAAGAACACCAGUGGCGAAGGCGGCUCACUGGACCGUUGUUGACGCUGAGGUGCGAAAGCGUGAGGAGCAAACAGG
RNAcentral lists this ribosomal RNA (236 nucleotides) under uncultured bacterium. RNAcentral's name for it is "partial 16S ribosomal RNA". It matches the Rfam family "Bacterial small subunit ribosomal RNA", at positions 541 to 776 of the family's 1533-position model. The record is from RNAcentral.